CCUACGGGUGGCUGCAGUAGGGAAUCUUCCACAAUGGACGAAAGUCUGAUGGAGCAACGCCGCGUGAGUGAAGAAGGGUUUCGGCUCGUAAAGCUCUGUCGGUAGUGAAGAAAGAUAGAGGUAGUAACUGGCCUUUAUUUGACGGUAAUUACUUAGAAAGUCACGGCUAACUAUGUGCCAGCAGCCGAGGUAAUAAGUAGGGGGCAAGCGUUGUACGGAUUUGUUGGGCGUAAAGGGAGUGAAGGCGGUUCAAUAAGUCUGAUGUGAAAGCCUUCGGCUCAACCGGAGAAUUGCAUCAGAGACUGUUGAACUUGAGUGCAGAAGAGGAGAGUGGAACUCCAUGUGUAGCGGUGGAAUGCGUAGAUAUAUGGAAGAACACCAGUGGCGAAGGCGGCUCUCUGGUCUGCAACUGACGCUGAGGCUCGAAAGCAUGGGUAGCGAACAGGAUUAGAUACCCUUGUAGUC
RNAcentral lists this ribosomal RNA (465 nucleotides) under uncultured bacterium. RNAcentral's name for it is "partial 16S ribosomal RNA". It matches the Rfam family "Bacterial small subunit ribosomal RNA", at positions 338 to 795 of the family's 1533-position model. The record is from RNAcentral.